RNAcentral lists this ribosomal RNA (493 nucleotides) under uncultured bacterium. Its description in RNAcentral is "partial 16S ribosomal RNA". It matches the Rfam family "Bacterial small subunit ribosomal RNA", at positions 29 to 508 of the family's 1533-position model. The record is from RNAcentral.
AUUGAACGCUGGCGGCAUGCUUUACACAUGCAAGUCGAACGGUAACAGGCCUUCGGGUGCUGACGAGUGGCGCACGGGUGAGUAAUGCAUCGGAACGUACCCAGAGGUGGGGGAUAACGCAGCGAAAGCUGUGCUAAUACCGCAUGUGGUCUGAGGAUGAAAGCGGGGGACCGAGCAGCAAUGUUUGGCCUCGCGCCUUUGGAGCGGCCGAUGUCGGAUUAGCUAGUUGGUGGGGUAAAGGCCUACCAAGGCGACGAUCCGUAGCUGGUCUGAGAGGACGACCAGCCACACUGGGACUGAGACACGGCCCAGACUCCUACGGGAGGCAGCAGUGGGGAAUUUUGGACAAUGGGCGCAAGCCUGAUCCAGCAAUGCCGCGUGCGGGAAGAAGGCCUUCGGGUUGUAAACCGCUUUUGGCAGGAACGAAACGGUGUCCGCUAAUACCGGGCGCUAAUGACGGUACCUGCAGAAUAAGCACCGGCUAACUACGUGC